RNAcentral lists this long non-coding RNA (228 nucleotides) under Elaeis guineensis (African oil palm). RNAcentral describes it as "long non-coding RNA (EGUI_LNC072162)". Lineage: Eukaryota; Viridiplantae; Streptophyta; Magnoliopsida; Arecales; Arecaceae. The record is from RNAcentral.
UCACUAAUUAAACCUUUUAUAAAUACUGAGUCCAAAUCUGAUGGACAAUCGGGCAUUAGAGUCCAUCGAUAUGAAAUCCUGAUCAAAAAGUCCCAAACCAUUGGGACUCUUGACCCCGGUAUCCAAAAUGUGUGGAGCUCAUGAUUAGAGAAUCCUAAUUCUCGAUCAUAGAGUUUCAGACACGUAGGACUCAAAGUCCAUGAGCAUUAGGACUCUUCAUCAGCCAUC